ACAAAGGCAAUGAUAAAGAGGAGUAUAAUAAGAGAGUGUAUGCAGAGAGGAAAUCCUUUGGCUGAGAGAUUUCUAACAGUCCUUAUUAGAAGCAGCUUUUGAGCCAUGGUUCUGAAUCUAUUUUAGUAAGAAUCAGCGGAAGACAGCCGUUAUCUGUCAGGUAUUGAACUGUACUGGAGAGACCAUUUUGGUAAGUAGGGUGGUACCGCGAGAGCACUCUCGUCCCUAUA
RNAcentral lists this non-coding RNA (230 nucleotides) under Geosporobacter subterraneus. RNAcentral's name for it is "T-box sequence". It matches the Rfam family "T-box leader". Rfam says of the family: Uncharged tRNA acts as the effector for transcription antitermination of genes in the T-box leader family. The record is from RNAcentral. Lineage: Bacteria; Bacillati; Bacillota; Clostridia; Peptostreptococcales; Thermotaleaceae.